Molecule: long non-coding RNA, 4126 nt
Organism: Malurus melanocephalus (red-backed fairy wren)
Lineage: Eukaryota; Metazoa; Chordata; Aves; Passeriformes; Maluridae
Exons: 7
Source: RefSeq, a predicted model, not a curated record
UUAGGUCUGAGAAUGAUAGAAGGGCUUUACACAGCUGUUUGCUUUAUUUCYCCUUAUCGCCUCCCCAUCUCAUUGUUGCAAAAUGUUUGGGACAUAUCUUGUGAACACCAAGGGCUACUCCAUGGUCACAUACUUUUUACUUGGGGAGGGGAAAACAAAAAAAAAAAACCCAACUCCAAACAAAAAGUAAAACCAAAAAACCCCUAUAGCUGGAGAGAGGGAAAAGUUUCCAAUUCCAGUAUAUGAUCUUCAUAAGCACAAUUAGUGUAGAAUUCAGCGGUUUAUAGCUUGAAUUCAGUAAUACUGUUCUGUAAAAAAAUUCUUCAGUGAAUACUCCACKAGGUUUUUGGAUGAUAUACUGAACAUCUGUUCUAAUGAAGAGUCACCACAAGUCUGCUUUUUGGUGCUCUUCUGGUUCCAGGGAGGACACAGAAAGAAWUACUUGCUUUCUGUCUGUUCUUGCUAGUUUUGAUGGCCACUUGUGGUUCCRAAGUAUAGAGAUCAGUGUAGCUUGACUUCUGUGUGCCUGCAACUGGUUCAUUGCCAGCUGGAGAGAAACAGGCACUCCUCUAAAAARUCAUUGAAGCAGCUUCAAUAUUCUUGAACAUGUUUUCAUGGAAAGUGAGGGGAUGUGACGUUUGCRGAUUUUUGAAGGAAAAACUGGCAGGCAGGAUUUUAUAUGGCCUUUUAGGUAGCUCAACACAUCUCCUCCUGCCUAAGUAGAUGACAAAACUCCACCAGAAAACAUAUGCUGUGCAGUCACUAGCCUUUUAAAACUGUCAUGCACAUUGAAACACUGCAGCUCUCCAGGUGUUUUGAAAGUGGGUGUCCUGUCUGAUGGAGUUCUGUCCAUUGCCACACCAGAGUACUGCGCACUGGAUAUUGGGAACAAGCUUAAAAUUAGUUUAAGCAAAACCACUGAUAACCAAAUUGGGUUAGUUUAUUAAUGCCUUAGUAAUGCUUGCUGAUCUUAAAUAUGGAGUAGCUGUAAAUAUUCAAACCCCCAGCUUUGUAAAUGCAAAUAAAGUUAUGGGAAGUUUAACAUUUGGAAAGGAAGUAGUAAAUAGGCAUAUGCAGGAGCCUGGGUGUGGCAGGAGGAGAGGCCACUGCAGGCCAGCUAUCUCGGGUGGCACCUUGGAGUGCAAACUAUCAAAUGCAGCACCAUACCAGCAUCGCUUGUGCACUGUUCUUUGUGCCGGUGCCCCCACCUAUCAGCCAGAGAACAGGAGCUCUUCAACUCACAGCUCCCAGCAAUCCUUCCUAGACCUGAACUCAACUACCUAAAAGAGGAACAGCCGAGAUUUUGGGUAAAUCCCUGAUGCUGAAAACCUGCAGGAACAGAGAGAAACUUGACAAGAUUGGGUUGAAGCUGCAAACAUGUGUUAGAUAAAAGCGAGAGAAGAAAGUGGGGAUAAAUCAGAGAAGAUAAUCAACAAUGAUGAGCCUCCUUCAUGUCCUAGAUCCUUCGCAGCAAGGGACUGGGGCUCCAGCAGCAGUGGGGUUGGAGACUGUGCCAUGUCCUCACUUUUUACCAUGUGGUUCCCUCACAGCACACCAGGGAGGAAGAGGGAGGAGGAGGAGGGACAAAUGGAACAGGGAGGAACAUUUCUGUUCUUCUUUCGACCAUGAGGAGUGUUCAGAGAUUCAGUCCUCGAGUGGAAGAACUCGUAGUGGGGCAGCUCUAAUGUGCUKGUAAGCAGAAAACAUGGACCAGUGAAUAAGAAUGAAGCAAUAUCUGCUUUAUAAACACAUGGAGACAGCCUCUAUAUCUCUAUAAUGUAUUCAUGAUGAAGCAGUAAAAGCACUUUGGCCCAUGUCUUAAGGAACAUUAAAAUGUUAUUGUUACUGCAGUGUGUUGCCUGUCCUGCUUAGUGUUAUUGCCCACCCAGUAUAUCUUUUGGGCUUGUAAUUGAGAUAUAUUGAAGGGUAUUUCUUUAUAUUUAAAUAAUCAUGGGCCUAAUUUUCAGGAAGUGUCAAUAUGUCUGGCUGAAAUGGAAUCAAUGGGACCAAACUCCUUUGUACGAGCUAAGGUCCUGGGUGCUGAAAAAUACCCUAAUUAUCCUAAUGAGGGAAGGACCAAUCUAUCUCCUGAGACAUUUUAUGACCUACUUCUGCAGCUCCCCUGCUCUUUUGGGAAAGCUCUGCUGGGCUUCUGGCUCUUCGUCUCCUUGGUCUCCCCCAAAUCACUCACAAAAGCAAAUUCCACCAGAGAGAGAGGGAGACAGCUGCUUCUGCAUAUAUUAAUAAUACACAGUUCUAUAAAUGAUUAAUAAAAGAUACCACUGACUUUGAAUUAYGGUGCAGUGAAUCACACUUAGCUAUUUAGAUGGCUCUCUGCUCCAUCCUGGCCAUGCACGAGGCACCCAGGAUGAAUGAUUAUCCUGUCAYGCAGACCGUUGUUUCCACUUGCUUGAAUUGAGCUCUGCACAUAUCAGACAGGAUCAUGCAGCUGAGUAUGGCCCACCAGGGAGACCUUGCCCACCACAUGGAUGGUCAAAAUCAGACUGAUUCAUUUUUCAAAUUGCUUAAAGAUGUAUCUGUGGGAACAGAGUCAGCCAUAGUCUUCAUCCCUUGAUGUACUCUAAUCUAGAGCUUAUCCAGAGCAAGGUGAUAAUAUUUAAUUUAAUAACAUGUGUCAACAUUCUGGUGAAUCCUAUGGAGUGCUAGUACAGAGCAAUGUCCUGUUGCUCCUGUGCUGAUGGAUGUUCCAUGUUAAUUUUCUCCAGCUUUUCACUCUGUGGGAAGUCACUGCACUCUCUGCUGUGCCUCUCUKCAUUCUCCAUGAUGAUUACAUCCAUGUGAGAUCUAUCCCUAAAAAGGAAAUAUUAAUUUUUAAAAAGCUUUGCAAAAAUGAGAUUAUGUUUAAAAAUAAACAAACAAAAAACACCCCAAAAUUGAGAGUUAACUCAGUAACUGGGGGUUAUCUGAGUAGCUGGGAGCUUAGUGAAAGAAAUUGUCCAUGGGAGGWAGAAAACAGGAGCAGAAAUACAACCCUGUCUGGUCACCUGCAGACAACUCAGCCAGUUCUUGUUGACCUCCAGGUGAUUCACCCCAUCCCAAUGUCAAUCAAAAUGGAUCAGAAUGAUCACACCUGAAAAGUGCCUGAAAAGUUAAUUACAGCAGGAUCCUGAAGUGGCUUGCUCCAGAGCCCUAAAACCUGGGGAGAUGAGGCUUAGCUUUUAAAUCCCUGUAUUCCCUACCCUCUGGAGCAUUCUGUUAGGCUGCCAGUGCACAGAAGAGUGAAAGACUACAGUCACCUCUAACAACCUGUUCAUCAAAUAAUAUUCAGUGUUAAAAUGCUGUAGUGGCGAAGUGACUCUUCUAAUGGGGAUCUGUAGGGGUGUAAAUUCCCCCCAGAAACCUUGCCUGUGAUUUUGGCAAAGGAGGGGUGGAAAACCUCUUUGGGUUAUCCCAGAUAAAAGGAUAAACACCAAAGUAUUUAGAUCCAYAAGUGAGGCCUCCCUCCUCUUCAGGGGGGAAAAUGGGGCCCCAGAAGGAGUUUGGUGCCUUUGUGCCGGUUUCUGAGUGAAACAAACCUUUCAGGGGAAACAAUGCUAAUAGAGUCAUCGCUUUGGCACAUGAGCCCUGCUAGAAAGCAAGCCUGUUAAUCCCCUCUAUAGUCUCUCUAUUUAUACCCUUAGGCUGCACAUAAACUGGCCAAGUACAAGAACAAAAGCUGACUAGAAAUAUCUCCUGUGAUUGUUGCUCUCAUGAGCUAUUAUCCCUUUUAUUAAGGAGCAAGGCUCAGAACAACCUUUCUUAAGGACAAUAUUCUGUGAAGAAAUGUGAUUAUCAUGCUGAUUUAGGUGAAACUUGGCCCUGUGGCUCACCCCUCCCUCUACUCUCCCUGCCCAUUUUCCUUACUGUUCUUUUAAGUGGUGGUGCCAUCAACCAAGCUGGAGGAAUGCCCUGACCCCAACCCUGCUCCUUGCUUCUCUGAGAGAUCAGUAUCAGCCUACAGGUUAAGUUUGUCUUCUCAGCCAUUACUUUAAGACACUUGUUUAUGUCUUACAAUAAAAAGAAAAAAAAAUCUUGGACCAUAUUUUUGUGUUGUCACCUUAGAGGUGGGAUCUUUUAGARAAGAGCAAGGUGUGUGACUGUUCACCAGAUUCCUGGUGUCCUUCCU